This 433-nucleotide ribosomal RNA is filed under the name uncultured bacterium. RNAcentral's name for it is "partial 16S ribosomal RNA". It matches the Rfam family "Bacterial small subunit ribosomal RNA", at positions 29 to 507 of the family's 1533-position model. The record is from RNAcentral.
AACGAACGCUGGCGGCAUGCCUAACACAUGCAAGUCGAACGAGACUUUCGGGCGUAGUGUCGCACGGGUGCGUAACGCGUGGGAAUCUGCCCUUAGGUUCGGACUAACUCCUCGCCAGGGGUUCUAAUACCGGAUACUGUCUUCGAACAAAAGAUUUAUCGCCUUGGGUUGGGCCCGCGUUGGAUUGGCUUGUUGGUAGGGUAAAACCCUACCAUGGAGACGAUCCUUAGCUGGUCGGAGAGGAUGAUCAGCCACACUGGGACUGAGAAACGGCCCAGACUCCUACGGGAGGCGGCGGGGGGGAAAAUGGGACAAGGGGCGAAAGCCGGAGCCAGCAAGGCCGGGGGAGUGAUAAAGGCCUUAGGGUUGUAAAGCUUGUUUACCCGGGAGGAUAAUGACAGUAGCGGGAGAAUAAGCCCCGGCUAACUCCGUG